UGCACUGACCCGUUUAUGACACCGCUGGGAAAUACAUUCUUUGUUCAACAAAAACAAAACGAAUCUUCAACCCCUCCGUAGAAGACUUAACAUUUCCAUGUGCAGUAAUGUCAGAUAUAAUUAAAAAAAAACUGGAGAGAACUCAAGAUAUUUGGAUGCAGAGGCACAAUAGAUUUUUAGACGCAAUCGUUUUCGCUUUUGUUUAAUUGAUUUCAAUUUUCCCGAUUUCACAGACAACCGAUUACGACGGGGAAUGCUACGUGUUUUUAACGCAGCAAUGAACGUUUUACCUCAAAAUUAAGCCUCUGUUUUAUCCUGUUGAUAAUUCAAAACAUCAAUGGUCGGGUAAACCAGGACUUGUAAUGUUAAGGAUGGACAGUCUUUUGAAUGUUUCUACUAGAUGCUUUUAAAAAAACGAAGCACAAUUCGUUUUACCACCGAUUACAUGAUACAAUUCUGUUAACUGAAUCACAGAUUUUGGAAUACAUUUAUUUCCUUCGUCUUUUCAAUUAGGUUGUCCAUCACGGUUAACUGCAAUUAUAAGUGAAAAUAGUUUUGGAAAAAUGGAAUUGACCCAAACUAUAGAUGUAUUAUACCCAAACUAUGGUCUACUGCUAGUUCCUGCAAUGGGAUUAAUGUUUUGUUUUGUUUUUUCUUUUUAUGCAGACAGGCAAAAGAGGAUGAGAGAAAAGAGGCAGAAAUUGAGUGCAAUUGUUGAUGAAUCUAAGUGGAAAUUCCCUGGAACCUAAAAGAGGAGAUAUUGGGAAGACUACAUACUGUAUGGAAAAAUCAAGCCCUGUUACUAUCUGAGGAAGAUGAAACAGGAAAUCAUACCUGCAGCUGAAGUAAAUGAUGAAGGAAAUGAUGUACUGUAAUUCAGAGCACCAGAAUUGUAUCCAGACACUUUAGUUUUUGUUUUGCUUUAAUUUCGCAAUAGUUUUGAUAUUCAUUUUCCAUUGGUGGUUUGUUUUAUGCAACAUACAUUCUGAUUUUUUCAGAAAACAAUGAGAUUAGACAAGGUAGGUGACUUUUUAUUAAAGUUUAACCCAUUGAUUUUUAGCAUUUUUGCCAUUUAAAUUAAAAGUUGUACUGCUUUGAGUAGUAGGAAGUACAUUGAUGAAUAUAUUUCUGAAUUAAUUUAAUGAAUUAAUCAGUCUUUGUUUUGUGUAACUUUGUUACAGUGAACAAUGUUUGGAAGAUCCAAUUGUAUACCAAAGGAAUUAAUCUAAUAAUUCUAAAAAAAACAUGUUCAUUGUGGUCAACUAAUGUAAUGUAAUUUUUAAUUUAAAAGUCUUUUUGCACUUACUGUAUUGAUGUCAAUAUUGUAUGAAACUUUCUAAUAAUAGAAUAGAAAUCAUUUAGGUCUUGAUAUGAUACACAGUCUUUUAAUUAUAAGUGAUUUAAACCCUUCUCAGGAUAAUGUGUGUGUGUUGACACUGUGUGUCUGUGAGUGUGUGUGUGUGUUGAGCCUCUUAGUUAUUUACUUCUCUCAGUCUGCUCUGUAUACACUAUAUGCUCUACUGUUUUUAUUUAAUGUUUCAUCUACUGUUAGUGCUGACUGUUUUAAGAAACAUUUUGUAAUGUAAUCUUAAUGUAUUCUGAUAUGCAUUUCAAGAUAAUUUGCAAAAAACAUGCAAUACCAGUGAUUUCUUCAAUCUUCUCUUUUAAAGCAAAUAUAAGUCAGUUUUUGGAAGUGAAUAAGUAUACUGUCAGACUAAAAGCAAACUAUAAACAGAUCUGGCAUAUUAAAGCAUCUGUCCUUAAUUAAGCAAAUUUUAGAUGAGUGGAAAGUUGUACAUUCUCUCGUGUAUCAAAAUACAAAGCAACAAACUAUGAUUAAAAUGAUUAUGCAGCUUGUUAUCAAAAAGCAAUAAUGUUUAAACAAUUAAAUUAGAUACCAUUUAUGUUAUGUUGGUCUAAUGUUUUUUGUACUUUCUCUGCAAUCAGUUUCAUUUUGUCUGUGCAUGUAAGCCUGUUUAUUUUUAAAGUUCAUUUCUAAAGUUCACUAAAGGUUCACUAAAACACCAUACUGUAUGUGCUAUGUGCUAAACUGUAUAUGAUUUUUGAAUGCGUGUGAUAUAAUAAAUCUGCUGUCACAGAAUUAUUUAAAUAAAAUAACAAGACUUCUGGAGUA
This is a long non-coding RNA of Lepisosteus oculatus (spotted gar), 2134 nucleotides long. RefSeq lists it as uncharacterized. NCBI's taxonomy places the organism in Eukaryota, Metazoa, Chordata, Actinopteri, Semionotiformes, Lepisosteidae. The record is from RefSeq and is a predicted model, not a curated record.